AGCAGCCGCGGUAAUUCCAGCUCCAAUAGCGUAUAUUAAAGUUGUUGCAGUUAAAAAGCUCGUAGUUGAAUUUUAGGCCUGGCCGGGCGGUCCGUCUUUGGCGAGUACUGUCUUGUUGUCGGGUCUUCCUUCUGGUGAACCAGUAUGCCCUUAAUUGGGUGUGUUGGGGAGCCAGGACCAUUACCUUGAAAAAAUUAGAGUGUUUAAAGCGGGCUAUUGCUUGAAUAGAUUAGCAUGGAAUAAUAGAAUAGGACGUUGUGGUUCUAUUUUGUUGGUUUCUAGGACCACCGUAAUGAUUAAUAGGGAUAGUUGGGGGCAUUGGUAUUCAAUUGUCAGAGGUGAAAUUCUUGGAUUUAUUGAAGACUAACUACUGCGAAAGCAUUUGCCAAGGAUGUUUUCAUUAAUCAAGAACGAAAGUUAGGGGAUCGAAGACGAUCAGAUACCGUCGUAGUCUUAACCAUAAACUAUGCCGACUAGGAAUCGGGCGACGUUAUUUUAAUGACUCG
This 506-nucleotide ribosomal RNA is filed under the name uncultured Archaeosporales. Its description in RNAcentral is "SSU rRNA". It matches the Rfam family "Eukaryotic small subunit ribosomal RNA", at positions 569 to 1078 of the family's 1831-position model. Lineage: Eukaryota; Fungi; Glomeromycota; Glomeromycetes; Archaeosporales. The record is from RNAcentral.